UGGGGAAUUUUGCGCAAUGGGCUAACGCCUGACGCAGCAACGCCGCGUGGAGGAUGAAGGUCUUUGGAUUGUAAACUCCUGUCAGCAGGGAAAAAGGGAUAGGCGCUAAUACCGCUUAAACUUGAUUGUACCUGCAGAGGAAGCCCCGGCUAACUCUGUGCCAGCAGCCGCGGUAAUACAGAGGGGGCAAGCGUUAUUCGGAAUUAUUGGGCGUAAAGGGCGCGUAGGCGGCUUUUCAAGUGACGGGUGAAAUCCCUCGGCUUAACCGAGGAACUGCCUGUCAGACUGGAAGGCUUGAGACCGGGAGAGGUGAGUGGAAUUCCCAGUGUAGCGGUGAAAUGCGUAGAUAUUGGGAGGAACACCAGUGGCGAAGGCGGCUCACUGGACCGGAACUGACGCUGAGGCGCGAAAGCGUGGGGAGCAAACAG
Molecule: ribosomal RNA, 428 nt
Filed under: uncultured bacterium
Lineage: Bacteria
Description: bacterial SSU rRNA
Rfam family: Bacterial small subunit ribosomal RNA
Source: RNAcentral